GAUUCGCUAGCUCAGCAGGUAGAGCACAACACUUUUAAUGUUGGGGUAUCCUGGGUUCGAGCCCCAGGCGGAUCA
Molecule: transfer RNA, 75 nt
Filed under: Bacteroides ovatus
Lineage: Bacteria; Pseudomonadati; Bacteroidota; Bacteroidia; Bacteroidales; Bacteroidaceae
Description: tRNA-Lys
Rfam family: tRNA
About the family: Transfer RNA (tRNA) molecules are approximately 80 nucleotides in length. Their secondary structure includes four short double-helical elements and three loops (D, anti-codon, and T loops).
Source: RNAcentral